RNAcentral lists this ribosomal RNA (1598 nucleotides) under Salmonella enterica. RNAcentral describes it as "partial 23S ribosomal RNA". It matches the Rfam family "Bacterial large subunit ribosomal RNA", at positions 1352 to 2925 of the family's 2925-position model. Lineage: Bacteria; Pseudomonadati; Pseudomonadota; Gammaproteobacteria; Enterobacterales; Enterobacteriaceae. The record is from RNAcentral.
UUCCUGUCCAACGUUAAUCGGGGCAGGGUGAGUCGACCCCUAAGGCGAGGCCGAAAGGCGUAGUCGAUGGGAAACGGGUUAAUAUUCCCGUACUUGGUGUUACUGCGAAGGGGGGACGGAGAAGGCUAUGUUGGCCGGGCGACGGUUGUCCCGGUUUAAGCGUGUAGGUGUGUGUUCCAGGUAAAUCCGGUUCACUUUAACACUGAGGCGUGAUGACGAGGCACUACGGUGCUGAAGCAACAAAUGCCCUGCUUCCAGGAAAAGCCUCUAAGCAUCAGGUAACAUCAAAUCGUACCCCAAACCGACACAGGUGGUCAGGUAGAGAAUACCAAGGCGCUUGAGAGAACUCGGGUGAAGGAACUAGGCAAAAUGGUGCCGUAACUUCGGGAGAAGGCACGCUGACACGUAGGUGAAGUGAUUUACUCAUGGAGCUGAAGUCAGUCGAAGAUACCAGCUGGCUGCAACUGUUUAUUAAAAACACAGCACUGUGCAAACACGAAAGUGGACGUAUACGGUGUGACGCCUGCCCGGUGCCGGAAGGUUAAUUGAUGGGGUCAGCGCAAGCGAAGCUCCUGAUCGAAGCCCCGGUAAACGGCGGCCGUAACUAUAACGGUCCUAAGGUAGCGAAAUUCCUUGUCGGGUAAGUUCCGACCUGCACGAAUGGCGUAAUGAUGGCCAGGCUGUCUCCACCCGAGACUCAGUGAAAUUGAACUCGCUGUGAAGAUGCAGUGUACCCGCGGCAAGACGGAAAGACCCCGUGAACCUUUACUAUAGCUUGACACUGAACAUUGAGCCUUGAUGUGUAGGAUAGGUGGGAGGCUUUGAAGUGUGGACGCCAGUCUGCAUGGAGCCGGCCUUGAAAUACCACCCUUUAAUGUUUGAUGUUCUAACGUGGACCCGUGAUCCGGGUUGCGGACAGUGUCUGGUGGGUAGUUUGACUGGGGCGGUCUCCUCCUAAAGAGUAACGGAGGAGCACGAAGGUUGGCUAAUCCUGGUCGGACAUCAGGAGGUUAGUGCAAUGGCAUAAGCCAGCUUGACUGCGAGCGUGACGGCGCGAGCAGGUGCGAAAGCAGGUCAUAGUGAUCCGGUGGUUCUGAAUGGAAGGGCCAUCGCUCAACGGAUAAAAGGUACUCCGGGGAUAACAGGCUGAUACCGCCCAAGAGUUCAUAUCGACGGCGGUGUUUGGCACCUCGAUGUCGGCUCAUCACAUCCUGGGGCUGAAGUAGGUCCCAAGGGUAUGGCUGUUCGCCAUUUAAAGUGGUACGCGAGCUGGGUUUAGAACGUCGUGAGACAGUUCGGUCCCUAUCUGCCGUGGGCGCUGGAGAACUGAGGGGGGCUGCUCCUAGUACGAGAGGACCGGAGUGGACGCAUCACUGGUGUUCGGGUUGUCAUGCCAAUGGCACUGCCCGGUAGCUAAAUGCGGAAGAGAUAAGUGCUGAAAGCAUCUAAGCACGAAACUUGCCCCGAGAUGAGUUCUCCCUGAGACUUUAGGUCUCCUGAAGGAACGUUGAAGACGACGACGUUGAUAGGCCGGGUGUGUAAGCGCAGCGAUGCGUUGAGCUAACCGGUACUAAUGAACCGUGAGGCUUAACCUUACA